UUCGUCUGCUUGACUGCUUUCGUGGCUCGGUGGCUGCACGAAAAAUACAAAAUAAAAUUACAAAAUGUGGUCGUCGUGUAAAAACUCCUGUCGGCUCUCCAUGCUGUUUGGCAGUUCCUGACACGGAGGUUCCUGACUAGCAUUUAGAUCUGAGGCCUGAGCUGAUUCAGCUGUCAGGACAACACAAUAUAUGAAAGUUUUUCUUGCGCUGGUAUUGACUUGUCAUCAACAAACAAUCUCACUAUCAUUGCUAGGAUAAUCUCAUUUGUGUUACUUUUGUAUUCCUGCGACCUGCUAUGUUUGAAUGUAUUAUGCAGAAUAAUCAGACGGACAGAAGUCUGAUUCAGAAUAAUCAGACAAAUCAGACAAAUGAAUAAAUGCAAUGUAUUACAUGGAAGCAUUCACUCAUUCCAUUUAUUAGCAAUUAGGAG
Molecule: long non-coding RNA, 431 nt
Organism: Daphnia pulicaria
Lineage: Eukaryota; Metazoa; Arthropoda; Branchiopoda; Diplostraca; Daphniidae
Exons: 3
Source: RefSeq, a predicted model, not a curated record